RNAcentral lists this ribosomal RNA (429 nucleotides) under Chloroflexota bacterium. RNAcentral's name for it is "Chloroflexi bacterium partial 16S ribosomal RNA". It matches the Rfam family "Bacterial small subunit ribosomal RNA", at positions 355 to 776 of the family's 1533-position model. Lineage: Bacteria; Bacillati; Chloroflexota. The record is from RNAcentral.
UGGGGAAUAUUGCACAAUGGGCGCAAGCCUGAUGCAGCCAUGCCGCGUGUGUGAAGAAGGCCUUCGGGUUGUAAAGUACUUUCAGCGGGGAGGAAGGGAGUAAAGUUAAUACCUUUGCUCAUUGACGUUACCCGCAGAAGAAGCACCGGCUAACUCCGUGCCAGCAGCCGCGGUAAUACGGAGGGUGCAAGCGUUAAUCGGAAUUACUGGGCGUAAAGCGCACGCAGGCGGUCUGUCAAGUCGGAUGUGAAAUCCCCGGGCUCAACCUGGGAACUGCAUUCGAAACUGGCAGGCUAGAGUCUUGUAGAGGGAGGUAGAAUUCCAGGUGUAGCGGUGAAAUGCGUAGAGAUCUGGAGGAAUACCGGUGGCGAAGGCGGCCCCCUGGACAAAGACUGACGCUCAGGUGCGAAAGCGUGGGGAGCAAACAGG